CGAGCGGCAGCGGGAAGUAGCUUGCUACUUUGCCGGCGAGCGGCGGACGGGUGAGUAAUGUCUGGGAAACUGCCUGAUGGAGGGGGAUAACUACUGGAAACGGUAGCUAAUACCGCAUGACCUCGCAAGAGCAAAGUGGGGGACCUUCGGGCCUCACGCCAUCGGAUGUGCCCAGAUGGGAUUAGCUAGUAGGUGGGGUAAUGGCUCACCUAGGCGACGAUCCCUAGCUGGUCUGAGAGGAUGACCAGCCACACUGGAACUGAGACACGGUCCAGACUCCUACGGGAGGCAGCAGUGGGGAAUAUUGCACAAUGGGCGCAAGCCUGAUGCAGCCAUGCCGCGUGUGUGAAGAAGGCCUUAGGGUUGUAAAGCACUUUCAGCGAGGAGGAAGGGUUCAGUGUUAAUAGCACUGUGCAUUGACGUUACUCGCAGAAGAAGCACCGGCUAACUCCGUGCCAGCAGCCGCGGUAAUACGGAGGGUGCAAGCGUUAAUCGGAAUUACUGGGCGUAAAGCGCACGCAGGCGGUUUGUUAAGUCAGAUGUGAAAUCCCCGAGCUUAACUUGGGAACUGCAUUUGAAACUGGCAAGCUAGAGUCUUGUAGAGGGGGGUAGAAUUCCAGGUGUAGCGGUGAAAUGCGUAGAGAUCUGGAGGAAUACCGGUGGCGAAGGCGGCCCCCUGGACAAAGACUGACGCUCAGGUGCGAAAGCGUGGGGGAGCAAACAGGAUUAGAUACCCUGGUAGUCCACGCUGUAAACGAUGUCGACUUGGAGGUUGUGCCCUUGAGGCGUGGCUUCCGGAGCUAACGCGUUAAGUCGACCGCCUGGGGAGUACGGCCGCAAGGUUAAAACUCAAAUGAAUUGACGGGGGGCCCGCACAAGCG
Molecule: ribosomal RNA, 881 nt
Filed under: Yersinia kristensenii
Lineage: Bacteria; Pseudomonadati; Pseudomonadota; Gammaproteobacteria; Enterobacterales; Yersiniaceae
Description: bacterial SSU rRNA
Rfam family: Bacterial small subunit ribosomal RNA
Source: RNAcentral